GAGUUUGAUCGUGGCUCAGGAUGAACGCUGGCGGCGUGCCUAAUACAUGCAAGUCGAGCGAACAGACGAGGAGCUUGCUCCUCUGACGUUAGCGGCGGACGGGUGAGUAACACGUGGAUAACCUACCUAUAAGACUGGGAUAACUUCGGGAAACCGGAGCUAAUACCGAAUAAUAUAUUGAACCGCAUGGUUCAAUAGUGAAAAACGGUUUUGCUGUCACUUAUAGAUGGAUCCGCGCCGCAUUAGCUAGUUGGUAGGGUAACGGCUUACCAAGGCGACGAUGCGUAGCCGACCUGAGAGGGUGAUCGGCCACACUGGAACUGAGACACGGUCCAGACUCCUACGGGAGGCAGCAGUAGGGAAUCUUCCGCAAUGGGCGAAAGCCUGACGGAGCAACGCCGCGUGAGUGAUGAAGGUCUUCGGAUCGUAAAACUCUGUUAUUAGGAAGAACAAAUGUGUAAGUAACUAUGCACGUCUUGACGGUACCUAAUCAGAAAGCCACGGCUAACUACGUGCCAGCAC
This 522-nucleotide ribosomal RNA is filed under the name uncultured microorganism. RNAcentral describes it as "bacterial SSU rRNA". It matches the Rfam family "Bacterial small subunit ribosomal RNA", at positions 9 to 514 of the family's 1533-position model. The record is from RNAcentral.